This is a long non-coding RNA of Sander lucioperca (pikeperch), 195 nucleotides long. RefSeq lists it as uncharacterized. NCBI's taxonomy places the organism in Eukaryota, Metazoa, Chordata, Actinopteri, Perciformes, Percidae. The transcript has 3 exons. The record is from RefSeq and is a predicted model, not a curated record.
ACAUCUAGACUACUACUGCUGCAUCUACACUACUACAUUUUGGUUUGAAAACAAAUAUCUUUUCCUACGUUUACGCCUCACGUCCACACUACUGCAGCGUUUCCAAGCCCCUAAAACGGAGACAUUUGGAAACACUGCUUCCCCCCAUUUUGGUUUGAAAACUCUGGGGUUGCUUUGUAGUCUGGACGGGCUCAA